CUAGCUCAGUCCACUUUCCCUUCCUACCUCCAUGCUUUUCCCGAUUCUUUUAUUUGCUGCAGCCCACUCAGACUUUAUUCAAAGAUCAGGAAGUUCGGGUGCCCGGAGCCCAAGAGGCCCCGGGCCCUCAGGACGAUCGCCCCGGCUUCACUCAACGGUAUUUGGAGGUCAGCACGGUGC
Leopardus geoffroyi (Geoffroy's cat) is the source of this 180-nucleotide long non-coding RNA. RefSeq lists it as uncharacterized. The transcript has 3 exons. The record is from RefSeq and is a predicted model, not a curated record. Lineage: Eukaryota; Metazoa; Chordata; Mammalia; Carnivora; Felidae.